Molecule: long non-coding RNA, 218 nt
Filed under: Junco hyemalis (dark-eyed junco)
Lineage: Eukaryota; Metazoa; Chordata; Aves; Passeriformes; Passerellidae
Description: lncRNA (ENSJHYG00000006595.1)
Source: RNAcentral
GGAAGUGGCGCGCGCGGGGCCUGUGGCGGCGGUGGGGCCGGGCCGGGCGGCCGCGCUUCGACACCGGCGCAGAACCAUCAUGAAAAUGUUUACUUUGAUGCCAAGAGCCCAACUUCACUAGGAACUCACCAUCCAACUGCUUGAAGACACCUGUCCUUAGUUGAAUACUGGGACUCAUUAGACAAUGGGCACUGCAUAUUAAGCAGGGGUGGAAGACU